This 372-nucleotide transfer-messenger RNA is filed under the name Actinomycetes bacterium. It matches the Rfam family "transfer-messenger RNA". Rfam says of the family: Bacterial tmRNA, also known as 10Sa RNA or SsrA, is named for its dual tRNA and mRNA-like properties. Its role is to liberate the mRNA from a stalled ribosome. The record is from RNAcentral. RNAcentral also lists the same sequence under 4 other names. Lineage: Bacteria; Bacillati; Actinomycetota; Actinomycetes.
GGGGGUGAACGGUCUCGACUUUGGAUGUUGGGACAGGGGAAGCGGGCCGAGGAAGCCGGGAUGAUCUCGUAAACCAAAAACCCGUGCAAACAAUCAAGCGCCAGUACAACUGCCGCUGAUUACGCUCUCGCUGCAUAAGCGAGCCUCGUAAUCCGUUAGCCCAAGUGCGCCCUCGCCUUGGAAUCUAGCGCCGACAGAGGGCUUACUUAUUCAUAAGGUUGCGAUUAUGAAUCGGGAAAUCUUCCGCAAAUGAGUUCGUUGACUACAUGUGCGCGUGAGAGUCAGAGCUGAGAAAACGAAUAGCGCACUACGCCCGUAGAAGCCCUGUUUUAGUACCAGAGGACCCGGGUUCGAUUCCCGGCACCUCCACCA